This 465-nucleotide ribosomal RNA is filed under the name Vreelandella stevensii. Its description in RNAcentral is "partial 16S ribosomal RNA". It matches the Rfam family "Bacterial small subunit ribosomal RNA", at positions 338 to 795 of the family's 1533-position model. The record is from RNAcentral. Lineage: Bacteria; Pseudomonadati; Pseudomonadota; Gammaproteobacteria; Oceanospirillales; Halomonadaceae.
CCUACGGGUGGCAGCAGUGGGGAAUAUUGGACAAUGGGCGAAAGCCUGAUCCAGCCAUGCCGCGUGUGUGAAGAAGGCCUUCGGGUUGUAAAGCACUUUCAGUGGGGAAGAAAGCCUUGGGGCUAAUACCCUCGAGGAAGGACAUCACCCACAGAAGAAGCACCGGCUAACUCCGUGCCAGCAGCCGCGGUAAUACGGAGGGUGCGAGCGUUAAUCGGAAUUACUGGGCGUAAAGCGCGCGUAGGCGGUCUGAUAAGCCGGUUGUGAAAGCCCCGGGCUCAACCUGGGAACGGCAUCCGGAACUGUCAGGCUAGAGUGCAGGAGAGGAAGGUAGAAGUCCCGGUGUAGCAGUGAAAUGCGUAGAGAUCGGGAGGAAUACCAGUGGCGAAGGCGGCCUUCUGGACUGACACUGACGCUGAGGUGCGAAAGCGUGGGUAGCAAACAGGAUUAGAUACCCCGGUAGUC